This 90-nucleotide transfer RNA is filed under the name Coxiella burnetii. RNAcentral's name for it is "tRNA-Ser". It matches the Rfam family "tRNA". From Rfam's summary of the family: Transfer RNA (tRNA) molecules are approximately 80 nucleotides in length. Their secondary structure includes four short double-helical elements and three loops (D, anti-codon, and T loops). The record is from RNAcentral. RNAcentral also lists the same sequence under 12 other names. Lineage: Bacteria; Pseudomonadati; Pseudomonadota; Gammaproteobacteria; Legionellales; Coxiellaceae.
GGAGAGGUGGCAGAGCGGUUGAAUGCGACGGUCUUGAAAACCGUUGAGGGGGCAACUCCUCCGAGGGUUCGAAUCCCUCCCUCUCCGCCA